This 506-nucleotide ribosomal RNA is filed under the name uncultured Desulfobulbus sp. Its description in RNAcentral is "bacterial SSU rRNA". It matches the Rfam family "Bacterial small subunit ribosomal RNA", at positions 903 to 1382 of the family's 1533-position model. The record is from RNAcentral. Lineage: Bacteria; Pseudomonadati; Thermodesulfobacteriota; Desulfobulbia; Desulfobulbales; Desulfobulbaceae.
GCCAGCCCGCUCAGAAACUACAAAGGAAGUUGACGGGGCCCGCACAAGCGGUGGAGUAUGUGGUUUAAUUCGAUGCAACGCGAAGAACCUUACCUGGUCUUGACAUCCCGGAGACCCUUAGGAAACUAGGGGGUGCUUCCAUCUGGAAGAAUCUGGAGACAGGUGCUGCAUGGCUGUCGUCAGCUCGUGUCGUGAGAUGUUGGGUUAAGUCCCGCAACGAGCGCAACCCUUGCCUUUAGUUGCCAGCAGUUCGGCUGGGCACUCUAAAGGGACUGCCGGUGUUAAACCGGAGGAAGGUGGGGAUGACGUCAAGUCCUCAUGGCCUUUAUGACCAGGGCUACACACGUACUACAAUGGCCGAUACAAAGGGCAGCGACACUGCGAGGUGAAGCCAAUCCCGUAAAAUCGGUCUCAGUCCGGAUUGGAGUCUGCAACUCGACUCCAUGAAGUUGGAAUCGCUAGUAAUCGUGGAUCAGCAUGCCACGGUGAAUACGUUCCCGGGCCUU